AACGAACGCUGGCGGCAGGCUUAACACAUGCAAGUCGAACGGGACAGCAAUGUACAGUGGCGCACGGGUGAGUAACGCGUGGGAAUAUGCCCUUGAGUACGGAAUAGCCUCGGGAAACUGGGAUUAAUACCGUAUACGCCCUUCGGGGGAAAGAUUUAUCGCUAAAGGAUUAGCCCGCGUGAGAUUAGGUAGUUGGUGGGGUAAUGGCCUACCAAGCCUACGAGCUCUAGCUGGUCUGAGAGGAUGAUCAGCCACACUGGAACUGAGACACGGUCCAGACUCCUACGGGAGGAAGCAGUGGGGAAUAUUGGGCAAUGGACGAAAGUCGGAACCAGCCAUGCCGCGUGAGUGAUAAAGGCCUUAGGGUUGUAAAGCUCUUUCGUUGGUGACGAUAAUAACGGUACCCAAAGAAGAAGCCCCGGCUAACUUCGUGCCAGCCGCCGCCGUAA
RNAcentral lists this ribosomal RNA (449 nucleotides) under uncultured bacterium. RNAcentral describes it as "partial 16S ribosomal RNA". It matches the Rfam family "Bacterial small subunit ribosomal RNA", at positions 29 to 523 of the family's 1533-position model. The record is from RNAcentral.